Molecule: ribosomal RNA, 253 nt
Filed under: uncultured bacterium
Lineage: Bacteria
Description: partial 16S ribosomal RNA
Rfam family: Bacterial small subunit ribosomal RNA
Source: RNAcentral
UACGUAGGUGGCAAGCGUUGUCCGGAAUUAUUGGGCGUAAAGCGCGCGCAGGCGGUCCUUUAAGUCUGAUGUGAAAGCCCACGGCUCAACCGUGGAGGGUCAUUGGAAACUGGGGGACUUGAGUGCAGGAGAGAAGAGUGGAAUUCCACGUGUAGCGGUGAAAUGCGUUGAUAUCGUAAGGAACACCUGUGGCGAAAGCGGCUUACUGGGUCUUUUCUGACGCUGAUGCACGAAAGCUAGGGGAGCAAACGGG